RNAcentral lists this long non-coding RNA (5383 nucleotides) under Homo sapiens (human). RNAcentral's name for it is "HSALNT0294814". The record is from RNAcentral. Lineage: Eukaryota; Metazoa; Chordata; Mammalia; Primates; Hominidae.
UCUAUGGGUAUAUCCAGACUGAAAGUUGAAAGUAACACCCAAUCCUCUAUUCAGUCUCCAUCUGGGAUGUAAGAGCCUGGAGGACAGGGGCCCCAUCUUACUCCUGUGUCUACUCUGGGCCUAGCAUGGCACCUUACCCAUCACAGAUGUGCUGUCAGUGUCUGCUGAACUGAAUAAGGUCCCCUUGGCCUAACCUGUCAAUCACACAGGUUGGGGUGAUUGUAGUGGAGUCACCAUUGAUUCUGUACUUUCCUCAGGAGUCUCCUGGUGACAUAAUGACAUUUUGAUAUUUUCUUCAGGAAAAAAGCACCCUGCUGGAUUAGAUAGGGUCCAGCAUCACAACCCUUGAGAGUCCAAGCAAUGCCCCAAAAGACCCAGGCCUCUGCCUGGGUGUCAACUCGUCAAUGUGCCAUUUCUGCAAAAAGGAAAAUGGACCUGCUGUUUCUUGCUGUUAUUGUCUGAAAAGUCAGUGCCCAGAUGCCAAGCCCAGAGCCUUGCUGUGCACUCGGGAAACCGUUAUUGCCAGCCUCUGCAGACCCUCAGGAAUGAGCUCUGCUUGCAACAGCCUUCUCCUGGCAAGAGUUAACACUAAGGUGCAGCUGAAGGAAUGUGAAGACUGGAGAGCCAGUUUGGGGGAUUGCUAUUGCAAUCAGAAGACAGCCCAAGUCAGAGUUCCAAAGCCCUUUGAAGGGAUGCCAGCUCAGACACAUGUUUCCAAUUAUCAUAUGCAAUCUCGAGACAGUGUGCAAGUUGCACUUUCAUUAUGUCAAAGUGAAAGGAAUGGUGGGGGCGAGAUAAAGGGGAGAGGCCGCUAAGCUGGAGGCUGCACUUAGCUGUGGCACCAAACGUUAGCCAAGGCGCCGGGCUGGCCUCUCCAACCCAAGUCUCCCCCUGGAGCCAGGGGUGCAUGCCUCUGAAAAUUACCCAGAUGUGUCACAUGCCUCAGGGAGGACCCUGUUUUCAACUGAGACCAUUAACGCAUUUAUGGCUAACACAAGGACAUUGAUUGCCUGCCACAUGCAAGAUUGGGUCCAGGUGCUGAAGAAACACAGAUGUGCUGCAUCCUUGACUUUAAGGAGCAUCCCUGGGUUGGAGGGAUUCUCUGCAGGCUGCUGUGGUGGAGGGAAGAUUUGCCCAACUUACUCUUGGCGCUGGACCCCCUGAGCCAUCUUCACACACCCAGGUGAACUUUGGGAAGGUAACAGCUUUUCAGUUGCAAACCCAAGUGAAUUAGAGCAAAACAGAUCCCACGUGCUUGACACAUGGAAACUUUCAGAGCCAAUGGUUUAUAAACUUACCAAGAGCUGGGGGAGUAAACACAUCCCAGGGAACUGUGGAGCACUUCUCUGGCAUUGAUACACAUAAGCAGAAAGCACAGCCUUCCCCGACACUUGCCUUAAGAUAGUCUUUUGUCUUAGAACCCAGAGGCUUACCUGAGCUAAACCACAUAAAGUGCUUAGUGCGAUGCCUUGAACAUACCAAGCUCUUAAUAAACGCUAAGGUCACUAUUAGCAUUGCUUGUCAUGGAAUAAACCUAGGAUACAUCUAUAAAACUGUCCAUAAUCUUCCUUGCCUUGUGGAAAGUUGUUCCACUAUUCCAACAUCCUUUUAGGGGUUCUCAGCUAAUCUACCUUUCAAAACGAAAAUUUAUUAUACACUUCUUAAGUGCUAGGUAGUUUUGUAUAUUUAUGUGUAUUAUCUCAUUAAAUGAUCUCUCAGCCCUCUGAGAAAAGCACUAUUAUCAUCCAUAUUUCACAGAUGAAGAAAUCGUCAGAGUUUCCAUAUAUCAUUGUCAGAGAUGUUAAGCAACUUGCUUAAGGUUACACAGCCUUAGCAGAAGUACUUGUUUGACUCCAAAGCCUACCAUUAUGCUGGAAUCACUAGAAUCCAGGUGGCCUAUCUGAACCCGGAUUCAGGCAUCUGAAGCUGAAUAGCUGCCAUUCUUGCUUUUAACCUCCUGGUAAAAGCAGGCUAUGCCUGAUCUAUCUAUCUAUCUAUCUAUCUAUCUAUCUAUCUAUCUAUCUAUCUAUCAAUCAUCUAUCUAUCUGUCUAUCUAUCUAUCUAUCAUGGCCUGGCUAUGCCACAUCUAUAUUCCAUGAUGUCCACUGACCAGAGGGUUUCCCUUAUCCAAUCCAUACAUGUGCCAAUAAACAAACAUUUAGUGAGCACCAACAUAGUUGCUUCUCUCCUAUAAUCAACACAGGAAUGGUUAAGUUUGGAAUAAAUUACUUUUCCUAACACUUGCAUAGGACUGGACUGUUUGCUUUCAAAUACUUGGUUUUGCUUCAUGCUCACAACUCUGGGAUAUAGGAAUGAUUAUUUUCAUUUCACAGCUGCAAGAACCAAGCUCAAAGAGGAACUGCUGCUUGCCAAAGUUUCACAGAUAGAAAUGGGGGAGCUGGGGCCAGAACCCAGCUCUGCUGACACCAAGCCCAGAGUUUGUACCAUGACACUGGGCUGCUCCCUCGGAGCUGGGUUUGGCUGAUGACCUCAACUCUGAGCACCCGUUGCCUCCCACUGUUCCGUUCAGGCCUGUGCGAGAAAGACUCCCAGGCCCCUGGGUUCUCCAUAGCCCACACUUCCACUCGGCUCCGCUUCUCUUGCCCAGCUGUCUCUCCUCCAAGGAGCGGACAGGGCGGACACGAGACCCGGGUGCCCUUUUGUCCUCUAUUCCAGCUCUGGGCGGAUCCUCCUCCCAUGAUGUGGAUGAUGCUGAGGAGAAAGUGGUAAGGCUUUUAGGAGGAACACUCCUGAUUCACGGAAAUGAAAAUAGCUGCUGGGUUGUUGCUGAAACUCUGUCCCCAUGGUGGGCUUUCUAUUAGCAGGGAAGGGGUCAGGCUGGCGCUCUGGUUGCUGGAGGGCGUCAGAGGGACAACUGAGUGUACCCCAGAGUCAGGCACCCUGCGGUCUCCCAGGCCGGGGCCUGAGCCUUGCUAGGAGGGCGGACAGCCAGGGCCGGCGCUAGUUUUCUUGGGCGUGGUGGAGGACGCCUUCCACCAAACGAAGUUGCCGAGAGGAGUCAGAUCUGCUCUCACCUUUUGGGCUUUUGGGGAACCCAGGCAGAAAAAUCUCAGUGAGGCACAGGAAGGAAAAUUUUGCAAAAUGUGCUGCUGCCGCUCCUCAGCAGAGUAUAGUGGGCGGUUUGAAGCUGUUUUCUUGGUGUUCAAGUGGCUGGGGCCCUGGCGACCCCGGUCAGCCUUUCUGGGGCAGCCCGGGUGGGUCUGAAAGCCAGGGCUCCCCUCCGUGUGUGGGAGCAGAGCCCAAGCUGCGGAAACCACCGGGCGCGGGGUUGUUUUUGGAAGGCUCCGACGCCGAUCAGCCAAACUGAUAUCCCUUAUAUUGUGUGAAAACAUUGGCUCCCACGCUGGGACUCCAGUGUUUCCGCCUAGAGCAGAUUUUGCCUUUGGGAAGGUGGUGGUGUUCCUGGGAUGAGGGGCCCUCCUCUUACCGGACACGCAGGAGAGCAGCCCACAUGGAAGUGAGGGCCUCAGCCUUCGUGCUCCCUCAGACGGUCCUCCCUCUCGGCUGCCCAGGGGAGCCAAAGACAUUUUUUAGAUGUCCCAGUGUCUUGCAGUGCCGCGGGCAGCACUCCAGGACCCUCUUUGUUGGUGUAGCUGCUCACAAGCCAACCUUCCUGAUGGGGAGCUUCCUGAAGGCCUCCCUCUCCACUCCUCUCCCCACAUCCCAGGCCCAAAGUCCAGUCCUAAGAGAAAAAAAGCCACCCAGAAACUUUGUAGGGGCACCUAGGACGGCUGAGACCACUGGCAUUGGACCCCAGUAAAAGUCACAGACACAGAUCACUGGGAGGGCUCCUCCCUGAGGCCUUUAUCUCACUUAGAAUCUCAGCACAGAAUGUUCUAGCUGGUGUUUCUUGAGCAUAAACCUUUAUUCCAAUUGCAGUGGCUCUGAUAGAAAAAACAGGGCACAUUUCAUCAUACUUCUACCCUAAUCAAAUGGCUCUCAUGCCAAAGCUCCCUACGUUUCUAAUUUGCCCUAUUUGGAUGGCGUUGGAGGUGGGGCCGGACAGCGAGAAUUACAGAGGGAAUGAAUAAGACCAUUUGCUCUUUUCUCGGAUGGACAAUUUGGGCCUGUUCUCUUGAAAACCAGUGUAGGCAUUUCAUCCUCGGGGGGAGACAGGAUGGAUAGGAGGGGAAAUUUUCUGUCUUAAUAUAAGUGCUCUGUCUGGGGGAAUAUUGUGGCUUCAAGGAAAAUACAAAAUGAAAGUUGCAGGGGAAGGGGGUCGUGUGAGGCUGGGUGGAGCCCUGCUGCAGGCUGAACCCUGGAGUCCCUCUGUCACCUUCACUCCUAAGAUGCUCUGGAUGGAGUCAGUGUUUAUUAGCACAUCCAAAAAGCCCCACAAGAACCACCCAGGUUGCUAACUUUCCUGGAGGCUGGAGAGUGCUGGUAAAGAUGAGAGAUCACACCUCCCUCCUCCUCCUGCUCUGUCCUCCCCUCCCCUUCUUCACAUCCACCUCUGGCCUUCUCUUUGUCAUCCUUGUUUCAUUUCCCCUGUUUGGGAGAAGCAGAAAGCCGUGGUUUCCUGCCGGCCCACCUGUCCUCCACAUCUCCAGGUUUAUUUGGUUCUUACUCCAUUUACUUAGUCUUUCUGCCCCACCCUCUUCUCUGCAGGUCCCACGGCCCCAGUCACCUUUGGUCACUUAUGGAAAUCAUCCAAUUAAGAAUAAAAAUAUUUUCAGAAGUUCUCUCCCGUCUCUGGCUUCCCUGGCUGUGGGCUGAUGGUGGGGCCCCUGGAAGUUGCUACUGUGGCUGUUAGUGGGUUGCAAGAGUGUCGGAGGCACUAAUGUUUUCUUGGGGUAAUGAAGUCUUUCUGCAGGAGGCUGCUGAGGGAUAAAACGAGUACUAAGGCCAGCUGAACAUGAAACCAGAUCUACUUUGACAGGCCUCGUGAGAUUACUCUGUUACAACUCUUCCAGACAGCACAUCUCCCUCUACAAAUGAGCAGCUCACAGAUCUUUGGUACAAGCCUCUUCCUGUCUAUCGAGUGCCCCCAGGACUGAGACUGUGCCUCUGAGGCCAGGGCAGCCCCAUGCCCAGUGGUGAUCUGCCUCCUGAUGAGGCUCCACUAACUUCUCCAAGGGAGGAGACCAGGGCCCAUGCUUCCAGGCCGUGGGCAGGUAAUCCAAUGAUUAGGUAGCUUUGGCUCUGGAAUGUAGAACAAAGUUGCAAUCCAGCAGGCUUCCUUUGCUAAUCAUGCCUGGCUUAGGCUAAUAUCUGAAACCAGUUAGCCUUUCCUGAAGUUGCAGCACUGGCUGGGGGUGGGGUAAGGGUUACAGGUGGGCCUUAGAAGGAGCCAGGGGGUGCUUCAGACAAUUCCCCCUGCAUCUUCCUCAGACUUGCAGAUGAUUUUACUCAAAAAAAAUAA